CUUACGGAGCGCGCUCUGAAAUAAGCGCUCAUAUUGUCAUAUUCCAACGGAUCGAGUUAGCUCAUCACACCGGCUCAGCUCGAAGAAAAUGUGCAGCUAUUUGUAAUUGAUGUUAUUCCUCUGUAGGGUUUAUUGAGGAUGUCUGUUUCUGGCUCAUGAACCCCGAGUUCUCUAGCAUGUUGGCCUCCAUGGAGUAGCUAGCUAACGUUAGCCAUCUUAAUUAACAUGAAGAUGUCAACAAGUGCUGUCAGGACGCAUACCAUCACUGUUGCUGUAUGCAGCCCGUUGCUGGUUGCUCAAGGGCAGAUGGAGAACGAAGAAUAGAUUGAUCCGUAUAGAACUACGAUCCAAUCAUAAAGUCCAUGAGAAAGCCUGACGAGUGUAUGAAACAAAAUCAUGAAGUGUGAAAAUACACCAAGCAUGACGAAUACUGCCUUUUAUCGUGAUAUUAAUCUAAUCGGAAAACUAAAGGAAAGUCAUCUUCACCGGCAAGUAAUUACCCUAAUGUACCCACCAAGAGGAGGGAAUACAUGCAGGGCUCAGAUCAAGUGGACGUAACCGAGUGCAACAACAAAGUCGAAGGGUUACAAAGAGAGGUGUCUGUGGUUGUCUUAAUCAUAGUGGUCAUCAUCUGCAACAAGCUGUGGUCUACAGUCUCCUUGUUUGUCCAGUUCAAGCAAAUCUUUGCCAUUGGUUUCUCAUCAGUCUGGUCUGGAAUUGGUUCUAUCUCUACAAGGCUAUCACUAUGGCCAUCACCACCUUCUUCAUAGAGCCUCUGAAGCACUUUGGCCAGGGGAUCAGCCAGUUCCUACAAGCCCUCCUCAAGGACAUUAGUGUUUAAAGGCACAGUCAACUUAUCUCGGCAAGCAGUGGCGGAGAUCCAGAAGGUUCUGGAGGGAAUGGACAGCUGGAGAACGGGGACUCUGAACGAUGUCCUCAGCCAGAUCCUGGUGAAUCUCAAACCACAUGACUACAAGGCCUGGAGAUGGCAAUUUGAGGACACCUUUGGUGUGGAGAUCGACACAUCCAUGACGUUUAGAAUGCGUAGUUUAUGUGGUUUGCCUAAGCAAUUUACUGUGGAAAUUUGCAGAGUCACCUUGCGGUCACCAGUCACCUUGCAGAUCCCUGUGCUCCUCACCAUCGUGCUCUCCAUCCUGGUCUUUGUGUACAGCAGCGCCCAGGCUGCCAUCCUGCACGGCAUAUCCAGACACCCUGAGGAACGCCGACAGGCGGUACAGCAAGGACGAGAUCAUCUCGGAGAGGUGGGAGCGUUUCCCCGACGGUGUGCGGCCGGAGGGUUGCUCCAACGCAAAGCAUAUCGACCCUCUAAUGGUAGAGGACCGACAUCCAGGAAGAGGUACUGCAAGAACCAGUUGUAGCUGGAGCCACAACUGAAGGCAAUGACUCACAAGAAGCUUAAUCCUCUCCAGCUAAAGGCAAAUCAAAUAUAGGGGGACGUUGCAUCUGAAUCUAAGGGGGAAGCUGACAGCCAGGCUGUCCAAAAGCUGAGUUCCCUCCCCCCCUCCUAAAACUAGGUGCCUACCACUAUAUAUAUAUAUAUAUAUAUAUAUUAUAUAUGGGCCAAAAUGGUGACUGAAAAUGGUGUUGUAUGAUGCAAGGAACCACUUUGCAAAAUAAAAAUCAUUAUCAUUUAUUAGGCCUAUUAUUACCAUAUAGAGAAUAAGGCUUUGCCUGUCUUAAAAUACAACACUCUCCCUUUUAGGAUGGUUGGCACCUUUUUUAGCCUAUCAAAUAUAGCAGAAUUAAACAAUCAACAGCCUGACCAACUCUAUACAAAGGAGAUGUGUUGUACUGCAUGAGGCAAAUGGUGGCCACACGAGAAACUGACUGGUUUUCUGAUCCAUGCACCUGCGUUUAUUUAACUUUUUUUUUAAGGUGACCAACAAAUGCAUAUCUGUAUUCCCAGUCAUGUGAAAUCAAUAGAUUAGGGCUUAAUGAAUUAAUUUCAAUUGACUGAUUUCCUUAUAUGAACUGUAACUCAGUAAAAUCUUUUGAAAUUGUAGCAUGUACCAAACUCGGUGAAGUCUUCCAAUACAAUAGUCCACAUGACUGGCUGCGUUUUGCUACCACCGGAAACUUCAAGAAGAUUGCCCAUUAUUUAGUUUUUCUAAGUAAAUAUAUUUGAAAGUGAUCAAAAAUAAUGUAUUAUUAGCUAGCUUGCUACAGAAACGUAGCAGCUCAUUUGAUUUAGCCUGCACACUAAGAUAAUAUUCGCUAGUUAGCUAACUUUACAUACUGUAUACCUAGCUACGUAAAUUAAAUGUAAUCAGCUUGCUAUAUUCACAGUAGCUAGUUACAAUGAUUAAUGCAUUAAGAUAGCUAACUCCAAAUGUAGCUAGAUAGGUAGCAAGCUCAACAGCCAUGAGAAGGGAGAGUAAGCUACUCUGGAUAGGGCAGGUACCUUUGCGGGAGGACAUGAAACUAUUCUCCAUUUCAAUCCCUGUCCUUAGCAAUAAAAACGGAAGACAGACCUGAAUAUUAUGUUGCUAUAUCUCUCUAUCUAACUUAAGUAUAAUGCAGCCUGUUACUUUGUUUUCUGUCCUCAGAUACAGAGGUCUGUCAAACCCUGUCUGCAGAAUGAGGUACCAAUGAAUGUCCCAAAAGAGUAAGGGUACAUUCUUGUAUGCCAUGGAUUAUAUGUGUACCUAGCAUAUUUUGUGAACAAAAAUCACACACAAAGUCACACACAAUGUAUAUAAACCUAUUACAACUGGAGCAGGCCAACCCUGAUGGGUGUGCACACUUCUGUUCCAGCCCAGCAUUAACACACCUGAUUCAAUGUAUCAAACCUAAUUAGUUAAUAAUCAAGUGUGCUAUUUCUGGGCUGGAACAGAAGUCGUAUCACCCAGUGGAUCAUAGGAGUUACUUUUUUUGUUCACCUGAAAUGAUGUUUUAUUAAUAAUAGCCUACUUGUUACUAAAAUGUCUAGCCUCUACAUAUGAGUUAGCUUACUUGUACACUUUGAAAUUAUGAGUUUUGAUGCUUUGACAGUGUUUUAAACUUGUUGUAAUUAACUGAACUAUUAUUCAAGAUGAACUAGUGUUGAUAUUGGUUUAUCACAGAUCACAACCCUGCAAUAAAAAGGGGAGUGUGUCUUCACUUGAAUGUUUCUGUGUUCUCAAAUGAACAUCACCUUUUUCUUUCCAAUUCGUUUUAUUUGUUUGUCACCAUUUUGUUUUCAGGAUAUCAGCCAUAUGUACCCAUUUUGCAGCUGAUAAUGGAAUCCAACGCAAAUGCAGCCAUAGGCCUACAGCAGUGGUUCCCAAUUCCAGUUCUCGAAUACCCCCAACAGCACACAUUUUUGUUGUAGCCCCAUACAAACAUAGCUGACUCAACUCAUUGAGGGCCUGAUGAUUAGUUGACAUGUUGAAUCUGGUGUGUUUGUCUGGGGCUACAAUAAAAAUGUACUCUUGGGGGAACUCGAGGACCGGGGUUGGGAACCACUGGCCUACAGCAUUAGCCUUAUGGGCAUUUGCAAUUCACCCUUUGACAUUGUGCAGCUGAAGCUUAACUCACACACUGUUUACAUAUUGUUCAGCUAUAUAUUCAGAAUUUAAAAAUUAUACCAGUAGACAAUGUAUAUGAGGCUAAUCAUUAAACUAGAUUUUGUACAUGCCUUGUGCUGACAUUUGUUUUGGUGCAAAUCCAACCCUUGUAAUCUAGGUGGAAGCAGGAAAUGAGUUCCUUAUUGUACACACACACCAAGUCCAGAAGGUCUAAGUGGCACUCUGUUAUAAUGAAUAUGUUUUUUUUACCUUUAUUUAACUAGGCAAGUCAGUUAAGAACAAAUACUUAUGUUCAAUGAUGGCCUAGGAACAGUGGGUUAACUGGGGGGCAGGGGCAGAAUGAC
This is a long non-coding RNA of Oncorhynchus tshawytscha (Chinook salmon), 3871 nucleotides long. The record is from Ensembl. NCBI's taxonomy places the organism in Eukaryota, Metazoa, Chordata, Actinopteri, Salmoniformes, Salmonidae.